Molecule: ribosomal RNA, 303 nt
Filed under: uncultured bacterium
Lineage: Bacteria
Description: partial 16S ribosomal RNA
Rfam family: Bacterial small subunit ribosomal RNA
Source: RNAcentral
AGCAGUCGCCGCGGUAAAACGGAGGGGGCUAGCGUUGUUCGGAAUUACUGGGCGUAAAGGGCGCGUAGGCGGUUUGGCAAGUUUCGUGUGAAAUCUUCGGGCUCAACUUGAAGUCUGCACGGAAAACUGCCGGGCUUGAGUAUGGGAGAGGUGAGUGGAAUUUCCGGUGUAGCGGUGAAAUGCGUAGAUAUCGGAAGGAACACCUGUGGCGAAAGCGGCUCACUGGACCAUAACUGACGCUGAUGCACGAAAGCUAGGGGAGCAAACAGGAUUAGAUACCCCCGUAGUCCCUGUCUCUUAUAC